RNAcentral lists this long non-coding RNA (430 nucleotides) under Chinchilla lanigera (long-tailed chinchilla). RNAcentral's name for it is "lncRNA (ENSCLAG00000027297.1)". The record is from RNAcentral. Lineage: Eukaryota; Metazoa; Chordata; Mammalia; Rodentia; Chinchillidae.
GGCUCCUGAGACAGAAGUGAGGGUGGGCCGGGCUCAUUCCUGGCCAGGAAGGUCUGGGCAAGAGAGCUAUAUUCCUUCAGCUAUGCAGCAGCUACCUUCAUCUUCCUCCUAUACCAGCUUCAAGGCAGAAAACUGUGGAGUCCUGGAGAACCACCUUUGAAGUCCUUCGGUCCCUUCUACCUAGAGUAAAGGUGAAAGACUAUGCAGACAGAUACAUCUCUGAUAGAAAGAGACAUGAUUUCAAAGGAGGCUGCUAAAUUAAACUAAGAAUGGAUUGCUUAUUGACAUCUUACAUGAUUAUCUCCUCACUUCAUUACAGACGUUGACCAAAUUUUGUGAGGUCCAAAGCUUAUGCAAUUUGGGGAACCCUCUUUUUUAGGAAAAGAACACAACAUUAUGAACAGGCAAUUAAGUGCAGUCUCUAGAAGGG